GUAGGUGGCAAGCGUUGUCCGGAAUUAUUGGGCGUAAAGCGCGCGCAGGCGGUCCUUUAAGUCUGAUGUGAAAGCCCACGGCUCAACCGUGGAGGGUCAUUGGAAACUGGGGGACUUGAGUACAGAAGAGGAAAGCGGAAUUCCAAGUGUAGCGGUGAAAUGCGUAGAGAUUUGGAGGAACACCAGUGGCGGAGGCGGCUUUCUGGUCUGUAACUGACGCUGAGGCGCGAAAGCGUGGGGAGCAAACAGGGAUUAGAUACCCUGGUAGUCCACGCCGUAAACGAUGAGUGCUAAGUGUUAGGGGGUUUCCGCCCCCUUAGUGCUGCAGCUAACGCAUUAAGCACUCCGCCUGGGGAGUACGGCCGCAAGGCUG
This 373-nucleotide ribosomal RNA is filed under the name uncultured organism. Its description in RNAcentral is "partial 16S ribosomal RNA". It matches the Rfam family "Bacterial small subunit ribosomal RNA", at positions 527 to 896 of the family's 1533-position model. The record is from RNAcentral.